This is a long non-coding RNA of Mya arenaria, 946 nucleotides long. RefSeq lists it as uncharacterized. Lineage: Eukaryota; Metazoa; Mollusca; Bivalvia; Myida; Myidae. The record is from RefSeq and is a predicted model, not a curated record. The transcript has 4 exons.
UCUGAUAGCCUGGCUUAGGUAUUGAUUCUUCCAUGGUGGAUGAAUCAACAGUUUUCUGCCUUCAAGAAGAGUGUAUCUGAUCUCCUGACCGCCAUGGAGACCUACCAGAAGCACUUGAAGGAUCAACUACACAGAGUUGAGAAAAAACACCGAAGUUGUGAGCCUGUGAGGUCAAUUGACAACAACUGGGGUCUUCAAGUGAUAGAAGUUGAAGAAAUGUGGCAGUGACACCUGUGAGUACUGCACCCUGAAUCCUCUGCGGGUCCCUAAGGAGGUAUUUGAUGACCUGCAUUUCUUUCCUGACCCUGUACCGGAUGGGAAUGAUGAUAAUCAUUACAAAAAAUUCCAGAAUGUAAAUGGCACUGAAACACAGGAAAACCACAAGCCUGAACUAACAGAACACGACAAACACAAAUCGUGGUUCGUUGCAGCAAAGGCUCGUGGCUAUGUGAAGUGCUAUGAAUGUGGCAAAAGACGUGUUGUGUAUGUGGCCAAAAAGCUUUCAAACCUGAGGAACAACAACACUUAAGGAGGGUACAAGAAGAGAAAAUGUUUGUCUGUGGAAAUGUUCCUCUUCCCAGGUAGCAUCAUGCAGGAUGUUAUGAUAGUAAAAGAGGGACAAAACUGCCAGAGUCCAAUCGAAACAACCUACUAUACAGAUAUCAAGAUGGACGACAUAUGUUUCUUCUGCGGAAAAAUUGACAACUUGGCGGAUGGUGAGGUAAUCCAAGAGCUGCAGCGGAAGUUUGGGACAGUGCGCCUUAUCUGCAACCCGUGUUGGCAAAGUGGCAAGGAACCAAUUACCAGGAAUAAGAAAGUGAAAAGAAACUAGUGUCUUUUAUAACAUGACUUCUCAUAACAUCACCUGUUAAUUUAUAGUUAAAGGCAGCACCAAAAGAAAAUAUGAAAAUUUAUUGAAACGUGUAAUUAUUGCUUAUGCGCUGUA